RNAcentral lists this ribosomal RNA (305 nucleotides) under uncultured bacterium. RNAcentral describes it as "bacterial SSU rRNA". It matches the Rfam family "Bacterial small subunit ribosomal RNA", at positions 334 to 656 of the family's 1533-position model. The record is from RNAcentral.
UCUCCCUACGGGGGGCAGCAGUGGGGAAUAUUGCACAAUGGGGGAAACCCUGAUGCAGUGACGCCGCGUGCAGGAAGAAGGUUUUCGGAUUGUAAACUGCUUUAGACAGGGAAGAUAAAAGACAGUACCUGUAGAAUAAGCUCCGGCUAACUACGUGCCAGCAGCCGCGGUAAUACGUAGGGAGCAAGCGUUAUCCGGAUUUAUUGGGUUUAAAGGGUGCGCAGGCGGAAUGUCAAGUCAGCGGUAAAAUUUCGGUGCUCAACCCCGUCGUGCCGUUGAAACUGGCGUUCUUGAGUGAGCGAGAG